Non-coding RNA from Triticum aestivum (bread wheat), 126 nucleotides. NCBI's taxonomy places the organism in Eukaryota, Viridiplantae, Streptophyta, Magnoliopsida, Poales, Poaceae. The record is from Rfam.
CUUAUACUCCCUCCGUCCCGAAAUACUUGUCGAAGAAAUGGAUAAAAAUGGAUGUAUCUAGAACUAAAAAUACGUCUAGAUACAUUCAUUUGUUCGACAAGUAUUUUCGGACGGAUGGAGUAUUUC